GGGGUCGAAAGCAGCGAUGCGGUGCGGGACGGGCAUGCGUCCCAUUAGCUAGUUGGCGGGGCGACGGCCCACCAAGGCUACGAUGGGUGGGGGAUCUGAGAGGACGGUCCCCCACACUGGUACUGAGACACGGACCAGACUCCUACGGGAGGCAGCAGUAAGGAAUAUUGGGCAAUGGGGGGAACCCUGACCCAGCCAUGCCGCGUGAGGGAAGUAGGCCCUACGGGUCGUGAACCUCUUUUGUCCGGGGACAAAGGCGGCGUCGGGAACGCCGCUUGCGGGUACCGGACGAAUAAGCAUCGGCUAACUCCGUGCCAGCAGCCGCGGUAAUACGGAGGAUGCGAGCGUUAUCCGGAUUCAUUGGGUUUAAAGGGUGCGCAGGCGGCGCGGUAAGUCAGCGGUGAAAGUCAGGGGCCCAACCCCGGAAGUGCCGUUGAUACUGCCGUGCUUGAAUGCGGUCGAGGCGGGCGGAAUGUGGUGUGUAGCGGUGAAAUGCAUAGAUAUGCCACAGAACGCCGAUAGCGGAGGCAGCUCGCCAGGCCUGCAUUGACGCUCGGGCACGAAAGCGUGGGGAUCGAAC
This 580-nucleotide ribosomal RNA is filed under the name uncultured rumen bacterium. RNAcentral's name for it is "bacterial SSU rRNA". It matches the Rfam family "Bacterial small subunit ribosomal RNA", at positions 196 to 773 of the family's 1533-position model. The record is from RNAcentral.